AGCAGUAGCCGCGGUAAUGCGUAGGUGGCAAGCGUUGUCCGGAAUUAUUGGGCGUAAAGGGCUCGCAGGCGGUUUCUUAAGUCUGAUGUGAAAGCCCCCGGCUCAACCGGGGAGGGUUAUUGGAAACUGGGAAACUUGAGUGCAGAAGAGGAGAGUGGAAUUCCACGUGUAGCGGUGAAAUGCGUAGAGAUGUGGAGGAACACCAGUGGCGAAGGCGACUCUCUGGUCUGUAACUGACGCUGAGGAGCGAAAGCGUGGGGAGCGAACAGGAUUAGAUACCCCCGUAGUCCCUGUCUCUUAUAU
RNAcentral lists this ribosomal RNA (303 nucleotides) under uncultured bacterium. Its description in RNAcentral is "partial 16S ribosomal RNA". It matches the Rfam family "Bacterial small subunit ribosomal RNA", at positions 507 to 809 of the family's 1533-position model. The record is from RNAcentral.